UUUCCUUCUCAGUUUGUGACUGACCCAGCAGCCCCGUCCCCCGUCUGCCACAAGCAGUCCACCUCCUGGUGCUGUGUGCUGCGUGCCAGCCGCUGCUCCCGCUGAGUGGAGACUCUGGCACCAGUGCCCACUGCGCUCUGCCUGCCGGUGGUGUCUGGAUUUCUAUAGGAAUCCCAGGAGGGUCUUACUGGAGGGUUGAGAGCCACCUGAUUGAAGGCGUUUGCAGUCAGAGUAAAGACGGGGAUCACCUGCUGGAUCGCCCUGUAUGCUGUGGAGGCCCUCCCCACCUGCCCUUUCUCCUGCAAGUGUGACAGCCGCAGCCUGGAGGUGGACUGCAGUGGCCUUGGCCUCACCACGGUGCCCCCAGACGUGCCCGCAGCCACCCGAACCCUCUUGCUCUUGAACAAUAAGCUGAGUGCCCUGCCAAGCUGGGCUUUCGCCAACCUCUCCAGCCUGCAGCGGUUGGACCUGUCCAACAACUUCCUGGACCGGCUGCCCCGCUCCAUUUUCGGGGACCUGACGAAUCUGACUGAGCUU
RNAcentral lists this unclassified non-coding RNA (537 nucleotides) under Homo sapiens (human). RNAcentral describes it as "leucine rich repeat transmembrane protein 2 (ENSG00000285383.2)". Lineage: Eukaryota; Metazoa; Chordata; Mammalia; Primates; Hominidae. The record is from RNAcentral.